This 424-nucleotide ribosomal RNA is filed under the name uncultured prokaryote. Its description in RNAcentral is "bacterial SSU rRNA". It matches the Rfam family "Bacterial small subunit ribosomal RNA", at positions 355 to 796 of the family's 1533-position model. The record is from RNAcentral.
UGGGGAAUCUUGGACAAUGGGGGCAACCCUGAUCCAGCGACGCCGCGUGGGUGAAGAAGGCCUUAGGGUUGUAAACCCCUUUCACCGGGGAGGAUGAUGACGUUACCCGGAGAAGAAGCACCGGCUAACUCCGUGCCAGCAGCCGCGGUAAGACGGAGGGUGCUAGCGUUGUUUGGAAUCACUGGGCGUAAAGGGCGCGUAGGCGGCUUCGUUAGUCAGAUGUGAAAGCCCGGGGCUCAACCCCGGAAUUGCAUUUGAUACUGCGGAGCUAGAGGUCGAAAGAGGAGAGUGGAAUACCCAGUGUAGAGGUGAAAUUCGUAUAUAUUGGGUGGAACACCAGUGGCGAAAGCGGCUCUCUGGUUCGAAUCUGACGCCGAGGCGCGAAAGCGUGGGGAGCAAACAGGAUUAGAUACCCGGGUAGUCC